RNAcentral lists this ribosomal RNA (1103 nucleotides) under Bacillus safensis. Its description in RNAcentral is "bacterial SSU rRNA". It matches the Rfam family "Bacterial small subunit ribosomal RNA", at positions 56 to 1144 of the family's 1533-position model. The record is from RNAcentral. Lineage: Bacteria; Bacillati; Bacillota; Bacilli; Caryophanales; Bacillaceae.
UGCAGUCGAGCGGACAGAAGGGAGCUUGCUCCCGGAUGUUAGCGGCGGACGGGUGAGUAACACGUGGGUAACCUGCCUGUAAGACUGGGAUAACUCCGGGAAACCGGAGCUAAUACCGGAUAGUUCCUUGAACCGCAUGGUUCAAGGAUGAAAGACGGUUUCGGCUGUCACUUACAGAUGGACCCGCGGCGCAUUAGCUAGUUGGUGGGGUAAUGGCUCACCAAGGCGACGAUGCGUAGCCGACCUGAGAGGGUGAUCGGCCACACUGGGACUGAGACACGGCCCAGACUCCUACGGGAGGCAGCAGUAGGGAAUCUUCCGCAAUGGACGAAAGUCUGACGGAGCAACGCCGCGUGAGUGAUGAAGGUUUUCGGAUCGUAAAGCUCUGUUGUUAGGGAAGAACAAGUGCGAGAGUAACUGCUCGCACCUUGACGGUACCUAACCAGAAAGCCACGGCUAACUACGUGCCAGCAGCCGCGGUAAUACGUAGGUGGCAAGCGUUGUCCGGAAUUAUUGGGCGUAAAGGGCUCGCAGGCGGUUUCUUAAGUCUGAUGUGAAAGCCCCCGGCUCAACCGGGGAGGGUCAUUGGAAACUGGGAAACUUGAGUGCAGAAGAGGAGAGUGGAAUUCCACGUGUAGCGGUGAAAUGCGUAGAGAUGUGGAGGAACACCAGUGGCGAAGGCGACUCUCUGGUCUGUAACUGACGCUGAGGAGCGAAAGCGUGGGGAGCGAACAGGAUUAGAUACCCUGGUAGUCCACGCCGUAAACGAUGAGUGCUAAGUGUUAGGGGGUUUCCGCCCCUUAGUGCUGCAGCUAACGCAUUAAGCACUCCGCCUGGGGAGUACGGUCGCAAGACUGAAACUCAAAGGAAUUGACGGGGGCCCGCACAAGCGGUGGAGCAUGUGGUUUAAUUCGAAGCAACGCGAAGAACCUUACCAGGUCUUGACAUCCUCUGACAACCCUAGAGAUAGGGCUUUCCCUUCGGGGACAGAGUGACAGGUGGUGCAUGGUUGUCGUCAGCUCGUGUCGUGAGAUGUUGGGUUAAGUCCCGCAACGAGCGCAACCCUUGAUCUUAGUUGCCAGCAUUCAGUUGGGCACUCUAAG